Molecule: ribosomal RNA, 253 nt
Filed under: uncultured bacterium
Lineage: Bacteria
Description: partial 16S ribosomal RNA
Rfam family: Bacterial small subunit ribosomal RNA
Source: RNAcentral
GACAGAGGUGCCAAGCGUUAGGCGGAAUCACUGGGCUUAAAGCGUGUGUAGGCGGAUGCCUAAGUACCUUGUGAAAUCCCCCGGCUCAACCGGGGAACUGCUGGGUAUACUGGGUGUCUUGGGUCAUCUAGGGGCUGCCGGAACAAAUGGUGGAGCGGUGAAAUGCGUAGAUAUCAUUUGGAACGCCAACGGCGAAAACAGCUCGCUGGGGCUGCGCUGACGCUGAGACACGAAAGCCAGGGGAGCGAACGGG